Molecule: unclassified non-coding RNA, 858 nt
Filed under: Hevea brasiliensis (rubber tree)
Lineage: Eukaryota; Viridiplantae; Streptophyta; Magnoliopsida; Malpighiales; Euphorbiaceae
Source: RNAcentral
UUAAGCAAUAACUCCUAUGAGACAUAUAGCAACAUGAUGAUAAUUCAUCCAACACUGAACUAUUUGCUAUAUCAAGUAAACUAGUACAGUAAUCUCUUAAAUCUAUAAACCAGUUACCAUUAAAGGUAUAUGUUACAACAUCUCUGCAUUUAAGAGAACUUGGAUUCUCCCUAAAACUAAAAUUCCCGAAGACCUUUUCACCUACGUUGCUUAAAUUCUUCAAAAAUGCUCGGUCCGUGUCCUAACAGCAUUUUAAGAGAGUCCGAGCAACGUAGCUUUUAACUAAUCAAAUAUAAAUUUAAAACAAUAGUAAACAAAACUCAAAGCUGUCAACUUUAUAUUACAUAAUCAGACCACUCUGAUAUAUGUGAAGUAUGAUCCAUAGUGAAACUAGGUAUCUUAUCAAGUCUCUUUGGAUUCUCCUUCCCUCCUAGCAACCUCGCCGGAUUCCCAACAGCGGUUGUCCUCGCCGGAACUUCCUUCAACACAACAGACCCUGCCCCAAUCUUAGCCCCAUCUCCAAUUCUAACAUUUCCAAGAACACAAGUUCCAGCACCAAUCAAAACACCAUCACCAAUCUUAGGGUGUCUAUCCCCACAUGCUUUACCAGUGCCACCUAAUGUUACAUUAUGCAAAAUCGAAACAUUGUUCCCAAUUACAGCAGUUUCACCAACAACAACACCAGUAGCAUGAUCAAGUAAAAUCCCUUUACCAAUUUUAGCACCAGGAUGAAUAUCAACAGCAAAAACUUCAGAUACUCUGUUUUGUAUUAACAGAGCAAGAAUUUGCCUCCCUUUAGACCAUAAUUUAUGUGCAAUUCUAUGAGCUUGACAAGCUAAAAACCCUUUAAAAUUCAAG